GAUGAACGCUGGCGGCGUGCUUAACACAUGCAAGUCGAACGAGAAGUGAAGACGGAAACCUUCGGGCGGAAGGCUUUAUUUCGAGUGGCGGACGGGUGAGUAACGCGUGGGUAACCUGCCUCAUACAGGGGGAUAACAGUUGGAAACGACUGUUAAUACCGCAUAAGACCACAGCACCGCAUGGUGCGGGGGUAAAAACUCCGGUGGUAUGAGAUGGACCCGCGUUCGAUUAGCCAGCUGGCGGGGUAACGGCCCACCAAAGCGACGAUCGAUAGCCGAUCUGAGAGGAUGACCGGCCACAUUGGGACUGAGACACGGCCAAAACUCCUACGGGAGGCAGCAGUGGGGAAUAGUGCACGAUGGGGGAAACCCUGAUGCAGCGAAGCCGCGUGAGUGAAGAAGUAUUUCGGUAUGUAAAGCUCUAUCAGCAGGGAAGAAAAUGACGGUACCUGAGUAAGAGGCCCCGGCUAACUACGUG
RNAcentral lists this ribosomal RNA (478 nucleotides) under uncultured bacterium. RNAcentral describes it as "partial 16S ribosomal RNA". It matches the Rfam family "Bacterial small subunit ribosomal RNA", at positions 28 to 507 of the family's 1533-position model. The record is from RNAcentral.